AGUGAACGCUGGCGGCGUGCUUAACACAUGCAAGUCGAACGAGAACGGGCUAUAGCUUGCUAUAGUUGUCAGCUAAGUGGCGCACGGGUGAGUAAUGUAUAGGUAAUAUGCCUCUUACUAAGGGAUAACAAAUGGAAACGUUUGCUAAUACCUUAUACUCCUUAUUAACAGAAGUUAAUAAGGGAAAGAUUUAUUGGUAAGGGAUUAGCCUGUAUUGUAUCAGUUAGUUGGUGGGGUAAUGGCUAACCAAGACUAUGACACAUAACUGGUUUGAGAGGAUGAUCAGUCACACUGGAACUGAGACACGGUCCAGACUCCUACGGGAGGCAGCAGUGGGGAAUAUUGCACAAUGGACGAAAGUCUGAUGCAGCAACGCCGCGUGGAGGAUGACACAUUUCGGUGCGUAAACUCCUUUUAUAUGAGAAGAUAAUGACGGUAUUAUAUGAAUAAGCACCGGCUAACUCCGUGCCAGCCGCCGCAGUAA
This 484-nucleotide ribosomal RNA is filed under the name uncultured bacterium. RNAcentral's name for it is "partial 16S ribosomal RNA". It matches the Rfam family "Bacterial small subunit ribosomal RNA", at positions 29 to 523 of the family's 1533-position model. The record is from RNAcentral.